UACAGAGGUCUCAAGCGUUGUUCGGAAUCAUUGGGCGUAAAGGGUGCGUAGGUGGCAUGGUAAGUCGGAUGUGAAAUCCCGGGGCUCAACCCCGGAACUGCAUUCGAUACUGCUGCGCUAGAGUACUGGAGAGGAGAUUGGAAUUUACGGUGUAGCAGUGAAAUGCGUAGAUAUCGUAAGGAAGACCAGUGGCGAAGGCGGAUCUCUGGACAGUUACUGACACUGAGGCACGAAGGCCAGGGGAGCAAACGGG
RNAcentral lists this ribosomal RNA (253 nucleotides) under uncultured bacterium. RNAcentral describes it as "partial 16S ribosomal RNA". It matches the Rfam family "Bacterial small subunit ribosomal RNA", at positions 524 to 776 of the family's 1533-position model. The record is from RNAcentral.